RNAcentral lists this ribosomal RNA (370 nucleotides) under Ceroplastes rusci. RNAcentral describes it as "partial 28S ribosomal RNA". Lineage: Eukaryota; Metazoa; Arthropoda; Insecta; Hemiptera; Coccidae. The record is from RNAcentral.
CAGAAGCCCGUGAAUCCGGGCGCCGCGGAAUUCAGGACCGAUCGGCGGACGUUCGCGUCUCGUCGGUCGACUCGAUAUUUCCGUCGCCGACCCUCAACCGAGGGUGUCGGACGUCGCGACCCGUUCGCCAUUUUGUCGAUGCUCAGGGACGCGUCGCCAGUUCGCCAGCGCCGUCGCCUCGGCGGCGGCGCGACGAUGGCGCGUUUCCGUUGUUUUCGACGCGGACGGUAGCUUUGCGCGCGGGUAUUCGACGCGGCCCACUCGUUCGGCGUCACUUCGGUGGCGUCGGGCGGGCGCUCGCGUCGACGCCGGUCAGCGACGAAUCUUCGGGCCUCUUUCCGACCCGUCUUGAAAAACGGGACCAAAAGGG